GAUGAACGCUGGCGGCGUGCCUAAUACAUGCAAGUCGAGCGAACGGACGAGAAGCUUGCUUCUCUGAUGUUAGCGGCGGACGGGUGAGUAACACGUGGAUAACCUACCUAUAAGACUGGGAUAACUUCGGGAAACCGUAGCUAAUACCGGAUAAUAUUUUGAACCGCAUGGUUCAAAAGUGAAAGACGGUCUUGCUGUCACUUAUAGAUGGAUCCGCGCUGCAUUAGCUAGUUGGUAAGGUAACGGCUUACCAAGGCAACGAUGCAUAGCCGACCUGAGAGGGUGAUCGGCCACACUGGAACUGAGACACGGUCCAGACUCCUACGGGAGGCAGCAGUAGGGAAUCUUCCGCAAUGGGCGAAAGCCUGACGGAGCAACGCCGCGUGAGUGAUGAAGGUCUUCGGAUCGUAAAACUCUGUUAUUAGGGAAGAACAUAUGUGUAAGUAACUGUGCACAUCUUGACGGUACCUAACCAGAAAGCCACGGCUAACUACGUGCCAGCAGCCGCGGUAAUACGUAGGUGGCAAGCGUUAUCCGGAAUUAUUGGGCGUAAAGCGCGCGUAGGCGGUUUUUUAAGUCUGAUGUGAAAGCCCACGGCUCAACCGUGGAGGGUCAUUGGAAACUGGAAAACUUGAGUGCAGAAGAGGAAAGUGGAAUUCCAUGUGUAGCGGUGAAAUGCGCAGAGAUAUGGAGGAACACCAGUGGCGAAGGCGACUUUCUGGUCUGUAACUGACGCUGAUGUGCGAAAGCGUGGGGAUCAAACAGGAUUAGAUACCCUGGUAGUCCACGCCGUAAACGAUGAGUGCUAAGUGUUAGGGGGUUUCCGCCCCUUAGUGCUGCAGCUAACGCAUUAAGCACUCCGCCUGGGGAGUACGACCGCAAGGUUGAAACUCAAAGGAAUUGACGGGGACCCGCACAAGCGGUGGAGCAUGUGGUUUAAUUCGAAGCAACGCGAAGAACCUUACCAAAUCUUGACAUCCUUUGACAACUCUAGAGAUAGAGCCUUCCCCUUCGGGGGACAAAGUGACAGGUGGUGCAUGGUUGUCGUCAGCUCGUGUCGUGAGAUGUUGGGUUAAGUCCCGCAACGAGCGCAACCCUUAAGCUUAGUUGCCAUCAUUAAGUUGGGCACUCUAAGUUGACUGCCGGUGACAAACCGGAGGAAGGUGGGGAUGACGUCAAAUCAUCAUGCCCCUUAUGAUUUGGGCUACACACGUGCUACAAUGGACAAUACAAAGGGCAGCGAAACCGCGAGGUCAAGCAAAUCCCAUAAAGUUGUUCUCAGUUCGGAUUGUAGUCUGCAACUCGACUACAUGAAGCUGGAAUCGCUAGUAAUCGUAGAUCAGCAUGCUACGGUGAAUACGUUCCCGGGUCU
Molecule: ribosomal RNA, 1372 nt
Filed under: uncultured bacterium
Lineage: Bacteria
Description: bacterial SSU rRNA
Rfam family: Bacterial small subunit ribosomal RNA
Source: RNAcentral